Molecule: small nuclear RNA, 21 nt
Filed under: Arabidopsis thaliana (thale cress)
Lineage: Eukaryota; Viridiplantae; Streptophyta; Magnoliopsida; Brassicales; Brassicaceae
Description: snRNA_03996
Source: RNAcentral
AACACGGACCAAGGAGUCUGA